GGAUUAGAUACCCUGGUAGUCCACGCCGUAAACGAUGCACACUAGAUCGAUGCAGGUUUGGCCCUGUGUCGGUCGUAGAGAAAUUCUUAAGUGUGCCGCCUGGGGAGUACGGUCGCAAGGCUAAAACUCAAAGGAAUUGACGGGGGCUCACACAAGCGGUGGAGCAUGUUGCUUAAUUCGAAACAACGCGAAGAACCUUACCAGGGUUUGACAUGCAUGGAUUAGCCUCUAGGAAACUAGGGUGACGCCCUUGGGUGGAACAUGCACAGGUGCUGCAUGGCUGUCGUCAGCUCGUGCUG
This 299-nucleotide ribosomal RNA is filed under the name uncultured bacterium. RNAcentral describes it as "partial 16S ribosomal RNA". It matches the Rfam family "Bacterial small subunit ribosomal RNA", at positions 775 to 1067 of the family's 1533-position model. The record is from RNAcentral.